This 253-nucleotide ribosomal RNA is filed under the name uncultured bacterium. RNAcentral describes it as "partial 16S ribosomal RNA". It matches the Rfam family "Bacterial small subunit ribosomal RNA", at positions 524 to 776 of the family's 1533-position model. The record is from RNAcentral.
UACGGAGGGGGCUAGCGUUGUUCGGAAUUACUGGGCGUAAAGCGCGCGUAGGCGGACCUGCAAGUCGGGGGUGAAAGCCCGAGGCUCAACCUCGGAACUGCCUUCGAUACUGCGGGUCUCGAGUCCGGGAGAGGUGAGUGGAAUUCCUAGUGUAGAGGUGAAAUGCGUAGAUAUCUGGAGGAACACCGGUGGCGAAGGCGGCACCCUGGACCGGCAUUGACGCUGAGGCGCGAAAGCCAGGGGAGCAAACGGG